GUGCUAAACACCGCAUUUGUUAAUAUAGUUUUGGUUUUGUUUUUUAGUACGCACUCCAUGUUACGCUCUCAAAGCCAUUUGAUUUUACUGCGUCUGACAUGCCUAUAAUCAGGAAGUGGUGGUGCUAUCAGUUAAUUCAGACAUUUCCUCUGACAAGUCAAGUCCAACAACUAGUCACCCAGGAACAAGAACUACCAAAUCCAGAAGACAUGGAAGUCACUCCACCUGAGUCAGAAAUCAUGGAGAUCACCCCAACACCAGGAAUCUAUGUAUGUAGAGGGAAUGUUUAUGUAUUGCUUGACUUGGUUAUGUAUUUAACUUUCCUGUUUCAUAAAGGUGUUUAUGAGCAGCACUUAUUAAUUACAUUAUUAUUGGAAUUCUUAUAUUGCACACAGGACUCAGCGGUGAUGAAAAACAUUCAGCUGGCCUGUAAGUGGGUGGAGGAGAACCAACACCACUUUGCUGGGAAGAUUGAACUGCCAAAGAUCUUAAGGAUGAAGGAGGAUGAUGCCUUGUUGGCUAUCGCAAUGCGAGACUUGUUCAUAAACACCAUGUUUUAUGAAGGUGAAAGGGAUGAAGAACAAAUUCGGGCUCCCUUCCUUUUCACUUUUCAGAGAGUAGAGGACAUGGAAUUAUUCUUGCAGGAAAUACGAGACAAAAGAGAUAUCCGUGUGUCUUGUUUACACAACCCUCAUUUGUGAAUCUACCAGUGGGUUACGGUUACUAUAAUGUAAAUAUUGAUUUUUGUUUUGUAAAAUUUCAUUAAUAUUUUGUGUGAAAAGAAGUGUUGUGUUCUUGAAAUAUAUUUAUGAUAUUUAUUAUUUUAUAUCUUGCUA
This 836-nucleotide long non-coding RNA is filed under the name Sinocyclocheilus anshuiensis. RNAcentral's name for it is "lncRNA (ENSSANG00000048581.1)". The record is from RNAcentral. Lineage: Eukaryota; Metazoa; Chordata; Actinopteri; Cypriniformes; Cyprinidae.